Molecule: ribosomal RNA, 444 nt
Filed under: uncultured bacterium
Lineage: Bacteria
Description: partial 16S ribosomal RNA
Rfam family: Bacterial small subunit ribosomal RNA
Source: RNAcentral
GUAGGGAAUAUUGGGCAAUGGUCGGAAGACUGACCCAGCCAUGCCGCGUGCAGGAAGACGGCCCUCUGGGUUGUAAACUGCUUUUAUCUGGGAAGAAAAAGGCCAUGCGUGGCAAAUUGCCGGUACCAGAUGAAUAAGCACCGGCUAACUCCGUGCCAGCAGCCGCGGUAAUACGGAGGGUGCGAGCGUUGUCCGGAUUUAUUGGGUUUAAAGGGUGCGUAGGCGGCUGAUUAAGUCAGCGGUGAAAGACUUCGGCUUAACCGGAGCAGUGCCGUUGAUACUGGUUGGCUUGAGUGUCGGAGGGGUACAGGGAAUUGAUGGUGUAGCGGUGAAAUGCAUAGAUACCAUCAGGAACACCGAUAGCGAAGGCAUUGUACUGGCCGACAACUGACGCUGAUGCACGAAAGUGUGGGGAUCGAACAGGAUUAGAUACCCGAGUAGUCC